Dichomitus squalens LYAD-421 SS1 is the source of this 80-nucleotide transfer RNA. It matches the Rfam family "tRNA". Rfam says of the family: Transfer RNA (tRNA) molecules are approximately 80 nucleotides in length. The record is from Rfam. Lineage: Eukaryota; Fungi; Basidiomycota; Agaricomycetes; Polyporales; Polyporaceae.
GGCGCUAUAGUGUAGUGGUUAUCACUUGGGAUUCUGAUACGAGUCUUCCCAAAACCCAGGUUCGAGCCCUGGUAGCGCCU